This is a non-coding RNA of Aedes aegypti (yellow fever mosquito), 74 nucleotides long. NCBI's taxonomy places the organism in Eukaryota, Metazoa, Arthropoda, Insecta, Diptera, Culicidae. The record is from Rfam.
CCUCUCAUUGCGUAGUGGUUAACGCGCCCCAACUAGAGAUCGGGGAGUCGUGAGUUCGAUUCUCACUGAGAAGA